This 65-nucleotide transfer RNA is filed under the name Sceptuchus simplex. RNAcentral describes it as "tRNA-Pro". The record is from RNAcentral. Lineage: Eukaryota; Metazoa; Arthropoda; Insecta; Mantodea; Nanomantidae.
CAAAGGAUAGUUUAUAUAAAAUUUUAGUUUUGGAAACUAAAGAAAAAAGUUGCUUUUUCCUUUGA